AUGCUCCGCCUCCGAGGGCGCAUCGUUGCCCAUCUCCUCUCUUUCUCCUCCACCUCUGGCCCGGCCAUCUCCCCCCUCCACCGGCUCCUCUCCGCAUCGGCAGCCGCCGGCUCCAUUUCCCCGAACCCCGGUGGAUUCGCCGUCGAGGAGUACCUCGUCGACACCUGCGGGCUCACCCGGCCCCAAGCCUUCAAUGCCUCCACCAAGCUCUCCCACCUCAAGUCCCCCGCCAACCCCGAUGCCGUCCUCGCCUUCCUCGCCGGCGUCGGCCUCUCCGGCGCCGACGUCGCCCCGGUUGUCGCCAAGGACCCGCAGCUCCUAUGCGCCAAAGUGGACAAAACCCUGGCUCCGGUGGUCGAUGGGCUCACCGGCCUCGGCCUGUCGCGUUCCGACAUCGCCCGCCUCGUCUCGCUCGCCCCCGGCGGCUUCCGCCGUAGAGCCAUAGUCUCCAGGCUGCACUACUACCUGCCCCUCUUGGGCUCCUUCCAAAACUUCCUCCGGCUGCUCAAGCGCUCAUCCCACCUUCUGUCGUCGGACCUCGACAAGGCUGUCAAGCCCAAUGUUGUGUUCCUGAGGGAGUGCGGGCUAGGUGGUUGUGAUAUUGCCAAGCUGUGUAUCCGUGUGCCUAGGAUGCUGAGCACCAACCCCGAGCGUGUCCGGGCGAUGGUGGCAUGUGCCGAAAGAUUAGGUGUGCCCCGUGGCUCUGGGAUGCUCAGGCAAGCGCUGCAGGCUGUCGCGUUUCGCAGCGAGGAGAAGAUCGUCGCCAGAUUGAAGUACUUGAAGAAUACGUUCGGGUGGUCUGAUGCUGAAGCAAGCAUUGUUGUGCGCAGGUAUCCGGCGGUGCUGGGGAAGUCAAAGGAAUCUUUGAAGUGCAGGUCUGAGUUCCUGCUCUCUGAGGUGGGGCUGGAACCCAUGUCCAUUGCUCAUCAACCUGUAAUUCUCAGUCUUAGCCUGGAGGGCCGGCUGAGACCCCGGUACUAUGUUAUAAAGUUUCUCAAGGAAAAUGGACUGCUAGAUGGUGACCCGAGCUUCUUUACUGCGGUCAAGAUGACUGAGAAGGUAUUUAUGGAGAAACUCAUAUCCCCUCACAAGGAAGCUGCACCACACCUCGCUGAAGACUAUGCAACAGCUUGCAAAGGGGAAGUGCCAACUAAUUUCAUAUUUAGAUGGACCAGGAACAGGCUAUGA
RNAcentral lists this ribosomal RNA (1188 nucleotides) under Triticum aestivum (bread wheat). RNAcentral describes it as "partial small subunit ribosomal RNA". The record is from RNAcentral. Lineage: Eukaryota; Viridiplantae; Streptophyta; Magnoliopsida; Poales; Poaceae.